Molecule: ribosomal RNA, 464 nt
Filed under: uncultured bacterium
Lineage: Bacteria
Description: partial 16S ribosomal RNA
Rfam family: Bacterial small subunit ribosomal RNA
Source: RNAcentral
CUACGGGUUGCUGCAGUGGGGAAUAUUGCACAAUGGGCGCAAGCCUGAUGCAGCCAUGCCGCGUGUAUGAAGAAGGCCUUCGGGUUGUAAAGUACUUUCAGCGGGGAGGAAGGGAGUAAAGUUAAUGCCUUUGCUCAUUGACGUUACCCGCAGAAGAAGCACCGGCUAACUCCGUGCCAGCAGCCGCGGUAAUACGGAGGGUGCAAGCGUUAAUCGGAAUUACUGGGCGUAAAGCGCACGCAGGCGGUUUGUUAAGUCAGAUGUGAAAUCCCCGGGCUCAACCUGGGAACUGCAUCUGAUACUGGCAAGCUUGAGUCUCGUAGAGGGGGGUAGAAUUCCAGGUGUAGCGGUGAUAUGCGUAGAGAUCUGGAGGAAUACCGGUGGCGAAGGCGGCCCCCUGGACGAAGACUGACGCUCAGGUGCGAAAGCGUGGGGAGCAAACAGGAUUAGAUACCCGAGUAGUC